AGGUGUUUAAUUUAAUAAAAAUACUUGAUUUCGGCUCAAAAAACUGUGGUUAAAAUCCGCAAUCACCAA
This 69-nucleotide transfer RNA is filed under the name Trachinops taeniatus (eastern hulafish). RNAcentral's name for it is "tRNA-Arg". It matches the Rfam family "tRNA". Rfam says of the family: Transfer RNA (tRNA) molecules are approximately 80 nucleotides in length. Their secondary structure includes four short double-helical elements and three loops (D, anti-codon, and T loops). The record is from RNAcentral. Lineage: Eukaryota; Metazoa; Chordata; Actinopteri; Plesiopidae.